RNAcentral lists this ribosomal RNA (253 nucleotides) under uncultured bacterium. Its description in RNAcentral is "partial 16S ribosomal RNA". It matches the Rfam family "Bacterial small subunit ribosomal RNA", at positions 524 to 776 of the family's 1533-position model. The record is from RNAcentral.
UACGAAGGGGGCGAGCGUUGUUCGGAUUUACUGGGCGUAAAGGGCGCGCAGGCGGCAGACCAAGUCAGGCGUGAAAGCCCCGGGCUUAACCUGGGAGGUGCGUCUGGGACUGGUAUGCUAGAGUUCGGGAGAGGAGAGUGGAAUUCCCAGUGUAGAGGUGAAAUUCGUAGAUAUCAGGAAGAACACCCGUGGCGAAGGCGGCUCUCUGGGACGGUACUGACGCUGAGACGCGAAAGCGUGGGGAGCGAACAGG